GGGGAUAUAGUUCAGCGGCACAAGCACCUCUCUGACAAGCUUUUAAAAGGUCCUGAGUUCGAUUCCCAGUAUCCCCU
Molecule: transfer RNA, 77 nt
Filed under: Cavia porcellus (domestic guinea pig)
Lineage: Eukaryota; Metazoa; Chordata; Mammalia; Rodentia; Caviidae
Rfam family: tRNA
About the family: Transfer RNA (tRNA) molecules are approximately 80 nucleotides in length. Their secondary structure includes four short double-helical elements and three loops (D, anti-codon, and T loops). Further hydrogen bonds mediate the characteristic L-shaped molecular structure. tRNAs have two regions of fundamental functional importance: the anti-codon, which is responsible for specific mRNA codon recognition, and the 3' end, to which the tRNAs corresponding amino acid is attached (by aminoacyl-tRNA synthetases). tRNAs cope with the degeneracy of the genetic code in two manners: having more than one tRNA (with a specific anti-codon) for a particular amino acid; and 'wobble' base-pairing, i.e. permitting non-standard base-pairing at the 3rd anti-codon position.
Source: Rfam by way of RNAcentral